GCUAGGUGAUAUCACGAAUGUUCGUCAACCUAAUCGUGUGAUCUCGGGUACAUCAUUUACUCACUGUUUAAUGAUUUUCAUGCGUGGAGUCUCCUUGUUAUUACCUCAUAUAUUACUGACCUAUCCGGUUGAAGCCGAUAACUUGAAUGUCACUAAAGAGAAUGCGGCAAUAACGGAAGAAGCACGCAAAAGAGAACAUAGAAACGCACUGAGGAGAGCUUCUUAUCGGAGGAAAAAGGAACGGGGUCUCCAAGAAGAUAAACUCCGGACCCAUGCGCAGCCUGGUAAAUCCUAAUGACCUUUCAAUCAUCAUUUUUAUCUUUAUAUAAUUUGGUGUGUAAUUUCCUAACCAUGUAGUAACAGAGAACCUUCCUAGC
Molecule: long non-coding RNA, 377 nt
Filed under: Triticum aestivum (bread wheat)
Lineage: Eukaryota; Viridiplantae; Streptophyta; Magnoliopsida; Poales; Poaceae
Description: long non-coding RNA (TAES_LNC015818)
Source: RNAcentral